Molecule: ribosomal RNA, 301 nt
Filed under: uncultured bacterium
Lineage: Bacteria
Description: partial 16S ribosomal RNA
Rfam family: Bacterial small subunit ribosomal RNA
Source: RNAcentral
CAGCCGCCACGGUAACACGGAGGAUCCGAGCGUUAUCCGGAAUUAUUGGGUUUAAAGGGUGCGUAGGCGGAUAGAUAAGUCAGUGGUGAAAGACGGUGGCUCAACCAUCGCAGUGCCGUUGAUACUGUUUAUCUUGAAUAUGGAUGAGGUAGGCGGAAUGUGGCAAGUAGCGGUGAAAUGCAUAGAUAUGCCACAGAACACCGAUUGCGAAGGCAGCUUACCAAGGCAAAAUUGACGCUGAGGCACGAAAGCGUGGGGAUCGAACAGGAUUAGAGACCCCUGUAGUCCCUGUCUCUUAUAC